GGAUACCUGGCUGUGGAAGGUAGAAUAGAAAUUACAACAAAAAAAUCCUAAUUCUAAUAUAACACUAACUAAAUUCUAAUUUGAUCAUAACAAUACUAAGUAAACUUUAAUCAAAUUCAAAGAAACAUCAAAAGAAUUACAAAGAAAUAAUAAAAAAUCUUAAAAAAAUAUUAGAAUGAUUACAAAUAUAUCUCAAAUAUAUCUCAAUUUAAUCUUAAUUUAAUCCUAUUUAAAAUCUCAUUGGACUUCAUUCAAACUUUAGGCCAAAAACUAACUAAAUCUUAAAUCCUAAAUAAAUCCUAAUCAAAUCUUAAAUCCUAAAUCAAAUCCUAAUCAAAUCCUAAAUCCUAAAUCAAAUCCUAAUCAAAUCCUAAAUCUUAAAUCACAUCCUAACAAAAUCCUAACCAAAUCCUAAAUC
RNAcentral lists this long non-coding RNA (418 nucleotides) under Physcomitrium patens. RNAcentral describes it as "long non-coding RNA (PPAT_LNC000813)". Lineage: Eukaryota; Viridiplantae; Streptophyta; Bryopsida; Funariales; Funariaceae. The record is from RNAcentral.